UAUAGUUCUUAUACUUGAAAGCUGUAGCACUUAGCAGAUAUUUGUAAUCUCAAUAAUGUUUGAGUUAAGCAAAAUGUUUUUGGUUGUGUUUCUUAUUGUGGUAAUGGUUAUAUUUUCAUCUGACGGAGCAAGUAUAUUGAUUUCAGGUUUUUUACCAAUUCUAAAACGAACCUUUGACGAACGUAUGCGAGAAGUUUGUUCAGCAUGUGUAUAGUAAAUGAAUAGUAAAAAGUUGGAAAGAUUAUAAAACACAAUAUUAUUAUAAUAAUGUAAAAUAUGUAAUCAAGCCAUGUUUAAUGUACGAAAUUUAUGCAACAUAAUAAAUUAUGCGCAAUAAUUA
This is a long non-coding RNA of Metopolophium dirhodum (rose-grain aphid), 340 nucleotides long. RefSeq lists it as uncharacterized. The record is from RefSeq and is a predicted model, not a curated record. Lineage: Eukaryota; Metazoa; Arthropoda; Insecta; Hemiptera; Aphididae. The transcript has 3 exons.